RNAcentral lists this ribosomal RNA (468 nucleotides) under uncultured bacterium. RNAcentral's name for it is "partial 16S ribosomal RNA". It matches the Rfam family "Bacterial small subunit ribosomal RNA", at positions 28 to 507 of the family's 1533-position model. The record is from RNAcentral.
GACGAACGCUGGCGGCGUGCUUAACACAUGCAAGUCGAACGGAAAGGCCCUGCUUUUGUGGGGUGCUCGAGUGGCGAACGGGUGAGUAACACGUGAGUAACCUGCCCUUGACUUUGGGAUAACUUCAGGAAACUGGGGCUAAUACCGGAUAGGAGCUCCUGCUGCAUGGUGGGGGUUGGAAAGUUUCGGCGGUUGGGGAUGGACUCGCGGCUUAUCAGCUUGUUGGUGGGGUAGUGGCUUACCAAGGCUUUGACGGGUAGCCGGCCUGGGAGGGUGACCGGCCACAUUGGGACUGAGAUACGGCCCAGACUCCCACGGGAGGCAGCAGUGGGGAAUAUUGCACAAUGGGCGGAAGCCUGAUGCAGCAACGCCGCGUGCGGGAUGACGGCCUUCGGGUUGUAAACCGCUUUCGCCUGUGACGAAGCGUGAGUGACGGUAAUGGGUAAAGAAGCACCGGCUAACUACGUG